This 266-nucleotide long non-coding RNA is filed under the name Vigna radiata. Its description in RNAcentral is "long non-coding RNA (VRAD_LNC016716)". Lineage: Eukaryota; Viridiplantae; Streptophyta; Magnoliopsida; Fabales; Fabaceae. The record is from RNAcentral.
UUUAUUCAUGAGAUAUCUACACUUUAAUUGCUAUACUGCUGCUCUGAUUUGGCUCAAUAUUUAAUCUGUUAUGUGCCUGCGAUUAAGUAUACGCUUAGUUGUCUAAUCAGCGUUAAAUCUUCGCUUAGUUGAUUAGACUAUAUGGUGCAUGACUGAUUGGAUUUGAGCAUUGCAUUGGCUUAGUUUGCAAUUCUAAAAAUCGAAUUAGUCUUCGCUUAGUUGGGUGAUUCGUGUGGGAUUUGGAUUAGAGUAGUGUGUACUUGUCG